Small nucleolar RNA from Chrysemys picta bellii (western painted turtle), 116 nucleotides. RefSeq annotates it as small nucleolar RNA SNORA73 family. Lineage: Eukaryota; Metazoa; Chordata; Testudines; Emydidae. The record is from RefSeq and is a predicted model, not a curated record.
CCAUUCCACGACGUUGGAGAAUAAGCUUGGGCGUCUGGUCUGCAGCCUGCAUAUUCCUACUGCUUCUCUGAGUCUUCGGACUGUGACUGAGGAGAUAAACCAUGCAGGAGACAUUG